CUUCCCUGUCUGACACCAGGACCUGCAGCACCCCUGCGGGCUUCUGGCCUUCUGAUGGGAUACAGCAGUGGCCUCACUUCCCCCCCGCUGGAUUAGUUCCUCCUGGGGCCUAAAGAGAAGCCAACACA
Molecule: small nucleolar RNA, 128 nt
Organism: Brienomyrus brachyistius
Lineage: Eukaryota; Metazoa; Chordata; Actinopteri; Osteoglossiformes; Mormyridae
Product: small nucleolar RNA SNORA49
Exons: 1
Source: RefSeq, a predicted model, not a curated record